UUGGAGGAUGAAAAAUGAUUUUAUGUUUAUCCUUUGUUUCAAUAAUUUUUCCCUUUCUCCUUCCAAAUGGAUUAAUAACAUACAGAUUCUUUCAUCAUGAUUAUCAACCAAUAAUCAAAAAUCAUCAUCAUGGAUUCUCCCUUAGGCUGAUGAGCUUUGACUAGACAGUUACCUGUCAAUGUUACUGAGCUUUUGGAUGGAAAAGCUUUAGAAAUACAUAAUACUAAUUACAUAUUUUAUUAAAUAGUUGACAGAAAACAUCAACUGAUUCCAAUGGAAACAGAAAAUUCAUAGAAUAGGAUGGAGAGAGAGAGAGAGAGGGAAAAAUUUCUAUUCUUCUUCUCCUGAAUUCCAAUAACUGGUAAACGAAUACCAAAAGAAAAUGGUUGCUAUGAAUAAGGAGAUUUUCUCGACUUACAAUGACACGAAACAAACAGAACAACAAUAAUAAUUAUCUUAUUAAGGAACCAGUGAUUUCCAUGUGAUAAAUACCAAGAGCCAAUAUUCAAGAAUUAAGUAUACAAAACUUGUAUUCAACUAUUAAUAUAACAUGGAAAACAAUUGAAUGUUCACAAUCAAACAUGAAAAUUGUUUUACUAAAAUCUACUGGCAAUCAUAUUACAUGUGUAAACCAUUUGUAUCUCAGCUGAUUCAUGAUAAAAUAUCAACAGCAAUAGAUAACCAUGAGGACGAAUGUUGAAACGAAGCAAAAAAAACAAGGAUAACAAUAUAAUGGGAACAACAUUGAUUUGAUUACAAUAAAAAUCGUCAUUUGAUUGUUUUCAAUUAUUACAAUAAAAGGAAAAGAAUAAAAAGAAACAAAGAGAUGCAAUAGACGAUGAUGAUAAUAAUAAUGAUGGUUAUUAGUUAUUUGAAAGAAGAAAAGUCCAUCAUCAUUAUAAUCAUCAACAUCAUGGAGUUAAAACAAGAAGCAGAAUAAUAUAUAACCAAAAUGCUGAAAUAACGAUCAAUAGCAGAGGAACAUCAACUUAUCAUCAUCAUCAUCUUUAAAUCACUUAUCCAUUUUCAUUUUCAUCUCUCUCCCUCUCUCAUUCUGUGAGCAUAAUGAUCCUGCCAACACACAGAUAUUUUAUUCCCAUGAACCAACAGAAAGUAACACCAAAGACUUGGAAGGAAAAAAAAUCCUAAUCAUCAUUUUCAUCAUCUUCAUCUUCCCAUGAGUGAGAUUGCUCAAUAUUUGGAGAUAAUUUUUUAUCUUUUCCUUCCUUCCGUAUAUUCUGAGUCUACACAUCAUCUCAUUUACAUUCAUCAUUUCACUUUUUUUUUGUUCAACUUGUUUGUCUUGUCUCCUUUUCUCCUCAUCACUUUUCCAUCUCAUUAUCAUCUCCAUCAUUAUCUUUCCCAUCAUUCAUUGGAACCAAUCGGAAUCAACAAUAACUAUGGAAGAAGAAAAAUGAUAGAGAAUAAGAAAAGACAAAGAAAAGUGAGAGUGAGAGAGAUAAAGUAAAAGUAGAGGUUGACCAAUCAGUGGCCAUCGAAAACCUCAGUGGGUCUAAACAAAUGCUGGAUAAAUAACCGAUGCUUCAGGGUUUCCAAUUCUCAUAAGUGUUUGUGAUAUUCACUAAGUAGACAUUGUGAACGUAAGAGAAAUCUAAUUGCUCUUUAGUAGCCACAUCAUCUUCAUCUUCUCUCUUACACCUUAUUCAUCAUACUGGUUUUAUCUUCAUCGUUCUUUGUAUAUUUUCCAAGUUUUGGCUUUUACUUUCUUUUCUUCUUCCAUGGAAUCUCCCCCAGGGAAGUUGAAGGAAAAAAAAUUCUGCCUUCGAAACGAUGAGAGAAAAAAAUCUUUUCUUUCAUUUCUCAAAAUGUUUGGAAAAAAAAAGAAGAGGAAAAUGUUACUCUAGAAGGAAAGAAAUUAAAUUUCAUGCUGUUCCAUAAAUUGUAGUUUGAUUUUUCAUCUUCACUAUUAUUAUUUUUCUCUUCCUUCUUUCUACAACAUUUACUAUCAUCAUCAUAAUGAUGACGAUGAUUAUCAUCAUUAUUAUUACAGUUAUUGCCUUGUAAAGCCUAAGGUUAACUGUAAUUUAGUUAAAUCUUUGAUGAAAAAGAGGUGACA
Panonychus citri (citrus red mite) is the source of this 2077-nucleotide long non-coding RNA. RefSeq lists it as uncharacterized. NCBI's taxonomy places the organism in Eukaryota, Metazoa, Arthropoda, Arachnida, Trombidiformes, Tetranychidae. The transcript is spliced from 3 exons. The record is from RefSeq and is a predicted model, not a curated record.